UGUUUUAUCCACUACCUUAUAUACCCAGCGCUUAGCACCAUGCUUGAAAGAAUGUCUCAGGUGAGGAAAUCAGCUCAGAGAGAAGUGACUUGCUUGAAGCCACACAGCAGGCAGCCAAGCCCAGCAGAACUGCUUCUGCGAAAGGACUUGGCCCCAGGUGGAGAAAUCCUACAAGGCAGCUCAUCCCACAUCCCUUCUUACAAAUGAGACACUAAGGCCCAGAGAGGUUAGAGACUUGGCUAAGCUCACACAGCUCACUAGAGGGAGAGCCAGCUGUACCCUUGGUAUUAAUUGGAGCCACCGUGCCCCUUCUGCCCAGGCAAUUCAUCGUGUCUCAAGGCAGAAAUACCACGUGUCCUACUACCAAGCAGUGGUUCUUGGCCCUGGAUGAUUUUUUCCUUCCAGGGGCUAUUGGACAACAUCUGGAACGUUUUUGGUUGUCACAAUUGGAGGGUUGCUACUGGCAUUUAGAGGACAGAGGCCAGGGAUGCUGGUGAAUGUCCUACAAUGCUCAGGACAGCCCCCCUCAACAAGAAGUUAUCUCACCCCAAAUAUCAAUCGUGCCAAGCUUGAGAAAUAUCACACUAAAGGCUUUUCAUAGAUCAGAAGGGGAAAUUAGUUUGGGGGUCAAGAAGCAACUGUUCCACUCCCCCUGGAUGAUACUACAGAAUAAUAACAGCAACUCACACCAAGAAAUUGAUUUUACAAACACCAGACGCUUUCAUAAGCAUAGUAUUAUUUAAGCCUCAUGGUAACCCUGAAAAGGUAGGUGUGAUUAUUCCAUUUUACAGAUAUGGAAAUAGAGUAUCUGAGAGUGGGUAUGACCUGCCCAAGUCCACACAGGCAUGAAGCAGACAGGAGCAGGGCUAGGAGCCAGAUGUGUUCACUGCUGUGGCUUUGCGUUAGAUACUCCAGCUUCUUCUCAUGCUAGGACCGGGCCCUGAGUGAGACAGAGUGCCUGUGUUCUAUGAUGCUAGAGUCUGGGGAAGGAGGGACCCAUGACCAUUUAGAAAAUAGAUAACUUCCCAGCUACCUAAAAUAAAUUACUCAGUACAUUCCACUUCACUGAGUCUCACUGAUCAAAGUUAAGGAUCAUUAGGAAAAACAAAU
RNAcentral lists this long non-coding RNA (1110 nucleotides) under Homo sapiens (human). Its description in RNAcentral is "HSALNT0168675". The record is from RNAcentral. Lineage: Eukaryota; Metazoa; Chordata; Mammalia; Primates; Hominidae.